Molecule: ribosomal RNA, 406 nt
Filed under: uncultured bacterium
Lineage: Bacteria
Description: partial 16S ribosomal RNA
Rfam family: Bacterial small subunit ribosomal RNA
Source: RNAcentral
GUUGAACGCUGGCGGCGGGCCUAACACAUGCAAGUAGAACGAGUGGCGGACGGGUGAGGAAGGUCUGGGAAACGGCCUGCUAGAGGGGGAUAACUACUGGAAACGGUAGCUAAUACCGCAUACCAUCAGAUGUGCCCAGAUGGGAGUAGCUGGUUGGUGGGUGAACGGCUCACCAAGGCGACGAUCCCUAGCUGGUCGGAGAGGAUGACCGGCAAAACUGGAACGGAGCAACGGUCCAGCCUCCUACGGGAGGAAGCAGUGGGGAACAUUGCACAAUGGGCGCAAGCCGGAUGCAGCCAUGCCGCGUGUAUGAAGAAGGCCUUCGGGUUGUAAAGUACUUUCAGCGGGGAGGCGGUACCCGCAGAAGAAGCACCGGCUAACUCCGUGCCAGCAGCCGCGGUAAUAC